RNAcentral lists this transfer RNA (85 nucleotides) under Methylobacterium isbiliense. RNAcentral describes it as "tRNA-Arg". Lineage: Bacteria; Pseudomonadati; Pseudomonadota; Alphaproteobacteria; Hyphomicrobiales; Methylobacteriaceae. The record is from RNAcentral.
GCCCGGGGCGGUUCGGCCAACGCCCCGUGCGGGAGGGCUGAGUCGAAGGGGAUAAGAGUGGCGUGGUUCGGAUCCAUCCCGGGUC